GAGGGUAUAGCUCAGUGGCAGAGUACCUGCUUAGCAUGCAUGAGGUCCUGGGUUCAAUCCCCAGUACCUCCA
Molecule: transfer RNA, 72 nt
Filed under: Camelus bactrianus (Bactrian camel)
Lineage: Eukaryota; Metazoa; Chordata; Mammalia; Artiodactyla; Camelidae
Also listed under: 2 other names
Rfam family: tRNA
About the family: Transfer RNA (tRNA) molecules are approximately 80 nucleotides in length. Their secondary structure includes four short double-helical elements and three loops (D, anti-codon, and T loops).
Source: Rfam by way of RNAcentral